AGAGGAAAAAUGUGUCUGUAACCUGCAAAGAUCAAUCACAUGAGCUGAACAGUAUACUAGACAUCUGUGAAAACUGCAAAACACAAUGUGAUCAUCUCUCAAAAGGCAAGAGUCAAAGAAAGUAUUCUGUGGAAAUUGAAAAAAUACGGGAAAACUAUG
Long non-coding RNA from Polypterus senegalus (gray bichir), 159 nucleotides. RefSeq lists it as uncharacterized. NCBI's taxonomy places the organism in Eukaryota, Metazoa, Chordata, Cladistia, Polypteriformes, Polypteridae. The record is from RefSeq and is a predicted model, not a curated record. The transcript has 2 exons.